UACGAAGGGGGCUAGCGUUGCUCGGAAUUACUGGGCGUAAAAGGGCGCGUAGGCGGAUAUCUAAGUUGGGGGGUGAAAUCCCGGGGCUCAACCUCGGAAUUGCCUUCAAAACUGGAUAUCUUGAGUUCGGGGAGAGGUGAGUGGAACUCCGAGUGUAGAGGGUGAAAAUUCGUAGAUAUUCGGAAGAACACCAGUGGCGAAGGCGACUCACUGGCCCGAUACUGACGCUGAGGCGCGAAAGCGUGGGGAGCAAACAGG
RNAcentral lists this ribosomal RNA (258 nucleotides) under uncultured bacterium. Its description in RNAcentral is "partial 16S ribosomal RNA". It matches the Rfam family "Bacterial small subunit ribosomal RNA", at positions 524 to 776 of the family's 1533-position model. The record is from RNAcentral.